CAGUGGAGGGAGUGUGCAGCGUCAGC
Molecule: unclassified non-coding RNA, 26 nt
Filed under: Mus musculus (house mouse)
Lineage: Eukaryota; Metazoa; Chordata; Mammalia; Rodentia; Muridae
Description: oocyte_clustered_small_RNA11085
Source: RNAcentral